AGGGUUCGAUUCUGGCUCAGAUUGAACGCUGGCGGUAUGCUUAACACAUGCAAGUCGAACGGAAACGAUACUAGCUUGCUAGUAGGCGUCGAGUGGCGGACGGGUGAGUAACGCGUAGGAAUCUGCCUGAUAGUGGGGGAUAGCCCGAAGAAAUUCGGAUUAAUACCGCAUAAUCUAUUCGUAGUAAAGUGGGGGACUUUCGAGCCUCACGCUAUCAGAUGAGCCUGCGUAAGAUUAGCUUGUUGGUGGGGUAAAAGCCCACCAAGGCGACGAUCUUUAGCUGGUCUGAGAGGAUGAUCAGCCACAUCGGGACUGAGACACGGCCCGAACUCCUACGGGAGGCAGCAGUGGGGAAUAUUGGACAAUGGGGGCAACCCUGAUCCAGCAAUACCGCGUGUGUGAAGAAGGCCUGAGGGUUGUAAAGCACUUUCAAUUGUGAAGAAAAGUUAGCGGUUAAUAACCGUUAGCCUUGACGUUAACUUUAGAAGAAGCACCGGCUAACUCCGUGCCAGCAGCCGCGGUAAU
RNAcentral lists this ribosomal RNA (525 nucleotides) under uncultured bacterium. RNAcentral describes it as "bacterial SSU rRNA". It matches the Rfam family "Bacterial small subunit ribosomal RNA", at positions 8 to 524 of the family's 1533-position model. The record is from RNAcentral.